AGAGUUUGAUCAUGGCUCAGGAUGAACGCUGGCGGUAUGCCUAACACAUGCAAGUCGAACGAUGUCUUCGGACAUAGUGGCGGACGGGUGAGUAACGCGUGAGAAUCUGCCUCUAGGAUGGGGAUAACGGUUGGAAACGACCGCUAACACCCAAUAUGCCGUAAGGUGAAAAAUUUAUUGCCUGGAGAGGAGCUCGCGUCUGAUUAGCUAGUUGGUGGGGUAAGAGCUCACCAAGGCUUCGAUCAGUAGCUGGUCUGAGAGGAUGAGCAGCCACACUGGGACUGAGACACGGCCCAGACUCCUACGGGAGGCAGCAGUGGGGAAUUUUCCGCAAUGGGCGAAAGCCUGACGGAGCAAUACCGCGUGAGGGAGGAAUGCCUUUGGGUUGUAAACCUCUUUUCUCAGGGAAGAAGAUCUGACGGUACCUGAGGAAUAAGUAUCGGCUAACUCCGUGCCAGCAGCCGCGGUAAUACGGAGGAUGCAAGCGUUAUCCGGAAUCAUUGGGCGUAAAGCGUCCGCAGGUGGUUUCCAAAGUCUGCUGUUAAAGACUGGAGCUCAACUCCGGAACGGCGGUGGAAACUUGGAAACUAGAGUUCGGUAGGGGUAGCAGGAAUUCCCAGUGUAGCGGUGAAAUGCGUAGAUAUUGGGAAGAACAUCGGUGGCGAANGCGUGCUACUGGACCGUAACUGACACUCAGGGACGAAAGCUAGGGGAGCGAAAGGGAUUAGAUACCCCUGUAGUCCUAGCUGUAAACGAUGGAAACUA
RNAcentral lists this ribosomal RNA (765 nucleotides) under uncultured marine microorganism. RNAcentral describes it as "bacterial SSU rRNA". It matches the Rfam family "Bacterial small subunit ribosomal RNA", at positions 8 to 818 of the family's 1533-position model. The record is from RNAcentral.